GAAAAGCUUUCUCAAGGUAUGUUGCCGUGGCACGGCGCAGAGGUAUCAACUCCACCCAUUUGGAAAACAUAUCUAAGAAGGCUAGUAACACUGUGUUACCUUGUUUGGAUCUCGGCAGUGGUCCAACGAAGUCGGCGCAAAUGGUAGCGAAAGGCUCGCUUGCCUGUCGUGUUAGCAUCUUCCCUGCAGGCUUGGCUUGUUGCGUCUUGAACUUUUGGCACACAGCACAUUUCCUUACGUAGCGAGCGACGUCUCUGAAGAUUCCGGGCCAAUAAUAUCUUUGACAUACCCUUGUCGUUGUCUUGCGUAUUCCCAGGUGUCCCGCGCUUGUUUGGUAGUGGCAUUCUUGCAGCACACGCUGCCGUUGUUCCUUGC
RNAcentral lists this long non-coding RNA (375 nucleotides) under Drosophila guanche. Lineage: Eukaryota; Metazoa; Arthropoda; Insecta; Diptera; Drosophilidae. The record is from RNAcentral.